This is a non-coding RNA of Sander lucioperca (pikeperch), 375 nucleotides long. The record is from the annotation of a RefSeq genome assembly. NCBI's taxonomy places the organism in Eukaryota, Metazoa, Chordata, Actinopteri, Perciformes, Percidae.
AUGCUGUCACUGCAGCAUUGUGUGCUUUAUCUGAUGUUUCUCAUUAUUCUAACAGGUGUCAGCUGUGAAGAACUCAAUCCAGUCAAAAAUGAAGUGAACAGCUUGGAAGGCAGCUCUGUUACUCUGUCCUACAGAUACACCAAACAAGCAACUGGUGGUGAUGAGUUUUACUGGUAUCGACAAUAUCCAGGAAAACCACCAGAGUUCAUCAUAUUCAUCUCAGGGAUGAACAUUACAAAAAAAGCUGAAUAUCUGACAUUGGACACAAGGUUCUCUACGAAUCUGUCUGAAGAAAAGCAUCGUGUGGAUCUUCAGAUCUCCUCUGCUGCAGUGACAGACUCUGCUCUGUACUACUGUGCUGUGAGGCCCACAGUG